GAUGAACGCUGGCGGCGUGCCUAAUACAUGCAAGUCGAGCGAACAGACGAGGAGCUUGCUCCUCUGACGUUAGCGGCGGACGGGUGAGUAACACGUGGAUAACCUACCUAUAAGACUGGGAUAACUUCGGGAAACCGGAGCUAAUACCGGAUAAUAUAUUGAACCGCAUGGUUCAAUAGUGAAAGACGGUUUUGCUGUCACUUAUAGAUGGAUCCGCGCCGCAUUAGCUAGUUGGUAAGGUAACGGCUUACCAAGGCAACGAUGCGUAGCCGACCUGAGAGGAUGAUAGGCCACACUGGAACUGAGACACGGUCCAGACUCCUACGGGAGGCAGCAGUAGGGAAUCUUCCGCAAUGGGCGAAAGCCUGACGGAGCAACGCCGCGUGAGUGAUGAAGGUCUUCGGAUCGUAAAACUCUGUUAUUAGGGAAGAACAAAUGUGUAAGUAACUAUGCACGUCUUGACGGUACCUAAUCAGAAAGCCACGGCUAACUACGUG
This 497-nucleotide ribosomal RNA is filed under the name uncultured bacterium. RNAcentral describes it as "partial 16S ribosomal RNA". It matches the Rfam family "Bacterial small subunit ribosomal RNA", at positions 28 to 507 of the family's 1533-position model. The record is from RNAcentral.